UACGGGGGGGGCGAGCGUUAUUCGGAAUUAUUGGGCGUAAAGGGCGCGUAGGCGGCCUAGUAAGUCAAAGGUGAAAUCCCUCAGCUCAACUGAGGAACUGCCUUUGAUACUGCGAGGCUUGAGGCCGGGAGGGGGUAGUGGAAUUCCCAGUGUAGCGGUGAAAUGCGUAGAUAUUGGGAGGAACACCAGUGGCGAAGGCGGCUACCUGGACCGGUGCUGACGCUGAUGCGCGAAAGCGUGGGGAGCAAACAGG
This 253-nucleotide ribosomal RNA is filed under the name uncultured bacterium. RNAcentral's name for it is "partial 16S ribosomal RNA". It matches the Rfam family "Bacterial small subunit ribosomal RNA", at positions 524 to 776 of the family's 1533-position model. The record is from RNAcentral.